RNAcentral lists this ribosomal RNA (52 nucleotides) under Armillaria cf. sinapina TMSC108. RNAcentral describes it as "partial 18S ribosomal RNA". The record is from RNAcentral. Lineage: Eukaryota; Fungi; Basidiomycota; Agaricomycetes; Agaricales; Physalacriaceae.
GUACAAGGUUUCCGUAGGUGAACCUGCGGAAGGAUCAUUAUUGAAACUUGAA